RNAcentral lists this ribosomal RNA (259 nucleotides) under uncultured bacterium. Its description in RNAcentral is "partial 16S ribosomal RNA". It matches the Rfam family "Bacterial small subunit ribosomal RNA", at positions 524 to 777 of the family's 1533-position model. The record is from RNAcentral.
UACGUAGGGUGCGAGCGUUGUCCGGAAUUAUUGGGCGUAAAGAGCUCGUAGGCGGUUCGAUAAGUCGGGUGUGAAAACUCUGGGCUCAACUCAGAGACGCCACCCCGAUACUGUUGUGACUUGAGUCCGGUAGGGGGAGUAUGGAAUUCCCGGUGUAGCGGUGAAAUGCGCAGAUAUCGGGAGGAACACCAGUGGCGAAGGCGGGGUCUCUGGGCCGAUAUCGACGCUGAGGAGCGAAAGCGAUGGGGAGCGUAGGGAA